GUCGAACGGCAGCGCGGGAGCAAUCCUGGCGGCGAGUGGCGAACGGGUGAGUAAUACAUCGGAACGUGCCCAAUCGUGGGGGAUAACGCAGCGAAAGCUGUGCUAAUACCGCAUACGAUCUACGGAUGAAAGCAGGGGAUCGCAAGACCUUGCGCGAAUGGAGCGGCCGAUGGCAGAUUAGGUAGUUGGUGAGGUAAAGGCUCACCAAGCCUUCGAUCUGUAGCUGGUCUGAGAGGACGACCAGCCACACUGGGACUGAGACACGGCCCAGACUCCUACGGGAGGCAGCAGUGGGGAAUUUUGGACAAUGGGCGAAAGCCUGAUCCAGCCAUGCCGCGUGCAGGAUGAAGGCCUUCGGGUUGUAAACUGCUUUUGUACGGAACGAAACGGCCUUUUCUAAUAAAGA
This 406-nucleotide ribosomal RNA is filed under the name Variovorax sp. Its description in RNAcentral is "bacterial SSU rRNA". It matches the Rfam family "Bacterial small subunit ribosomal RNA", at positions 61 to 466 of the family's 1533-position model. Lineage: Bacteria; Pseudomonadati; Pseudomonadota; Betaproteobacteria; Burkholderiales; Comamonadaceae. The record is from RNAcentral.